RNAcentral lists this small nuclear RNA (190 nucleotides) under Myotis davidii. RNAcentral's name for it is "U2 spliceosomal RNA". It matches the Rfam family "U2 spliceosomal RNA". Rfam says of the family: U2 is a small nuclear RNA (snRNA) component of the spliceosome (involved in pre-mRNA splicing). Complementary binding between U2 snRNA (in an area lying towards the 5' end but 3' to hairpin I) and the branchpoint sequence (BPS) of the intron results the bulging out of an unpaired adenosine, on the BPS, which initiates a nucleophilic attack at the intronic 5' splice site, thus starting the first of two transesterification reactions that mediate splicing. Lineage: Eukaryota; Metazoa; Chordata; Mammalia; Chiroptera; Vespertilionidae. The record is from Rfam by way of RNAcentral.
AUUGCUGCCGGGCCUUUUGUCUAAGAUCAAGUGUAGUAUCUGUACUUAUCAGUUUAAUAUGUGAUACGUCCUCUAUCCGAGGACAUUAUAUUAAAUGUAUUUUUAGAGCAGGGAGAUGGAACAGGAUUUUGCUCCGCCCAUCCAUGCACCAAGCCGGUAUGGAAGUAUCUCUGGGAACAGUGCAAGAAAA